GGAGAGGUGGCUGAGUGGUUGAAAGCGGCAGAUUGCUAAUCUGUUGUAUAAAAUUAAUUAUACCGAGGGUUCGAAUCCCUUCCUCUCCU
Molecule: transfer RNA, 89 nt
Filed under: Wrangelia sp.
Lineage: Eukaryota; Rhodophyta; Florideophyceae; Ceramiales; Ceramiaceae
Description: tRNA-Ser
Rfam family: tRNA
About the family: Transfer RNA (tRNA) molecules are approximately 80 nucleotides in length.
Source: RNAcentral